UGAGGUUAUAGCUCAGUUGGUAGAGUUCUUGCCUCACAUGCAUAAGGCCCUGGGUUCAAGCCCCAGCACCACAA
This 74-nucleotide transfer RNA is filed under the name Marmota monax (woodchuck). RNAcentral describes it as "tRNA.Val". It matches the Rfam family "tRNA". From Rfam's summary of the family: Transfer RNA (tRNA) molecules are approximately 80 nucleotides in length. Their secondary structure includes four short double-helical elements and three loops (D, anti-codon, and T loops). Further hydrogen bonds mediate the characteristic L-shaped molecular structure. tRNAs have two regions of fundamental functional importance: the anti-codon, which is responsible for specific mRNA codon recognition, and the 3' end, to which the tRNAs corresponding amino acid is attached (by aminoacyl-tRNA synthetases). tRNAs cope with the degeneracy of the genetic code in two manners: having more than one tRNA (with a specific anti-codon) for a particular amino acid; and 'wobble' base-pairing, i.e. permitting non-standard base-pairing at the 3rd anti-codon position. The record is from RNAcentral. Lineage: Eukaryota; Metazoa; Chordata; Mammalia; Rodentia; Sciuridae.